This is a long non-coding RNA of Mytilus californianus (California mussel), 163 nucleotides long. RefSeq lists it as uncharacterized. NCBI's taxonomy places the organism in Eukaryota, Metazoa, Mollusca, Bivalvia, Mytilida, Mytilidae. The record is from RefSeq and is a predicted model, not a curated record. The transcript is spliced from 3 exons.
GGUAAACAGGUAAGUACUUGGUAAUUAGGAUCUGUUGAAUGGUAAACAGGUAUGUACUGGGUAAUUAGCAUCUGUUGAAUGGUAAACAGGUAUGUACUGGGUAAUUAGGAUCUGUUGAAUGGUAAACAGGUAUGUACUGGGUAAUUAGGAUUUGUUGCAUGAU